Bubalus bubalis (water buffalo) is the source of this 3412-nucleotide long non-coding RNA. RefSeq lists it as uncharacterized. The transcript has 3 exons. The record is from RefSeq and is a predicted model, not a curated record. NCBI's taxonomy places the organism in Eukaryota, Metazoa, Chordata, Mammalia, Artiodactyla, Bovidae.
UCUUGGGCACUUAGGUGGCAGGCUGCAAGCCCACCUUCCCUGCUCCUGACCCCUGAAGACCAGAGCUUCAUUCCCCUGUUCCAGAGAGAAGACCAGGGGCCACUCAGGGCGCCCCCUCACAUCACCCGGUGGAUGUGGAGAUAUGGCUAGGACUCCAAGAAGCCGUGCCUAAGCAGAGGAUUGCUAAAUUUGGAAGUCUGGAGCGGAUCCAGCAGAGCGGUCCUCCACGUGCGUUAUCCUGCGGGAAGAGUCCUGCUCGCUGAGCCUGAGGAGUGCCUUCUUUGUGACAGCCCCGGAUGGAGGCCACUCGGAACUUCGGGAGCUCAGCUAGUUUUAUGGGAGCCAAGAGAUAACUGCGCCCAGGACCUCGUGGACAGGGAGACCUCGGGCGGCCCUGCAGGAAACUUGGUCGUGGCCUUUCAGCUUUAUUGCCCGCCCCCUCCAAGUAGAGACCCGUGCCCCCUCCAGGGCUGUGAGAAGUUAUGUGAGAACUUUUGUACAGAAGCAUCAAGAACAGUGGGUCAGGGCCACCAAAUUCUCCAAAGUGGUGGUCUCCCCUUUCCGCUGAAAAUUUUAUGAACAUCCCCAAAGGCUCUGCAUUAACAAGGUAAACAAAGCAAGUUUAGAUUCCACCUCUAUUUACAGAGCUGAGUGGCAGGCAGAGGGACAUCCCAGACACUUGUCACCGUCUUGGGUGAAACGCGGAAGACAGCAACUAGAUAACCGUGCUUGCGCAGCAGGAUCAGCGUCAAACCGCCGGGUUUCAUUGACCGUCACGCCCACUGAGGGUGAGAAAGCCCCUCCCCCGUGUCCCUCUUUCCUGCCAGGCUUUCAGGAAGAAGGCCUUGCAUAAUGGAUUGGAUUGGCUGGAUUCCAGGGAAAUGUCACAGGGUCUUUCUCCCUCCUGUCUCACGUGGCGGAGGCACAUCUGGGACGGAGCCCCACCUAGAGCAGAGGCCGGUCUAGGGUGGAGGCCCAUUUAGGAUGGAGGCUCAUCUGGAAUGGAGGCCCGCCUGGGCUGGGGUCUGCAGGCAGUACCUGAGUGCACCCCCACCAUCUCAACCUCCUCAGGGGCCUGUCCUGCUGAAGGGCAGACGGUGCAGUGAUUCAGGCUCUGACUCAAGAGUGUGAGAGGCCCUCUGAGACCUGGACUGGGUCUGGGCCCCCCAGGGCAGGUUCUCCAAGCUGUGCAGGGGGGCCCCAGUGCCCCCUCCCGGUCGGGUGGGCCUUCUUUGGCCUCUGGGCGCUGUGGGAUUGCAGCUCCCGGUGCCUCAGCGGUGGGGGAUGGGGAGGUCUCUGGUUCCCGGUCUGCCCUGCCCAUGGCCGGCCGGAUCGCCGCUCCUGUCUGCUCCGCAGUCCAGUCCUGCCGAGCAUCCCCCAGCCUUCCAGGGCGGGUGAGGCGAGCAGGGGCUUCUGAGGGUGCUGGGAUGAAAUCUGUGAGCUGGCUCGAUGGACACCUCCUUGGUGGCACCAGCCGAGACCACGGGCCUCCACGCGUGGUAUCCGGGGGGCCCUCAGGUGAAGGGUCUGUUCAGUGGCUGUGACCUGAAGCCCCUUCCCCUGCCUGUGCCCGGCAGGCUCUCAGAGUUGGGGAGACCCACCGGUUGUCCCUGUGAGGGCUUCGGGGUCAUUUCUCACUCUUUUUAGGCAAAUAAAAUUCACAGCAGCGACAUCGAACCAACAUCAGUUCCUAAACCUUCUCCCGGUGUCAUAUCAGAGCAUCUAGAGUCCGGGACGAAAAAGCAAAACUCCAAGCUAAUUAAUUCAAGGUGCCAAACAGGACUUUUAACUCCCUGUUGAACCGACUUGGAACUUGAAGUGGCCCUGUUGGUGGGAAAUCGGGCCCCCUCCCUCUGGAAUGCCCAUUUCCGCAGCCGUGGGUCUCUAUCCUCCCAUCCUCCUUGGUGAUGAGCCCUGUGUCUGGGGAAGGUCCGACCGUGACCAUGUACCAGGGAGGCCGCUCCGUCUCACUUGCCGAGAGUGUAUCUUUGAGAUUGUCCCCAGGAGUUGGAAUAAGUCACUUCUUCUUGGGAAAGCCAUCCAAACGUUUGCUAAGUGAGUGUUAGAGGCAGUUUUUAAGGGGGCUGGAGGAGAGAACAGAGGCCUGCGGGUGAGCUUGCCUCCACGUCACUCCGAGGUGAGAACAAAUGUGGUUUAUCUCACGCUGACAUGAACAGAGAGAUGAGCUUGAGGGAGGAAGUGACUCAGAGGCCCAGGGCUGGGAACACUCUUGGGAGCCAAGCGUGGGCAUGGCUGACCAGGAGCUGGGGAAGCAUGGGUGCCCUGGGCCUGGGCUCUGCCAGCGCCUUCCAGAAGGGCUUGUUUGCAGAGAUUCACGCCCUCCGAGCUCCGCUUCCCCACAAGACCAUCCCGGAGCAAGUCCACCGGAGAUCCACGCCUCCUGCCUCUGACGUCUCGGAAGCAGUGUUGCAACUUCUGUCUCUUUGGAUGCUUGAAGGGAGGCUUUCCGCUGACCUGAGUGUCCCUGAUCAUAACGUGAUGACUUCUCAGUGGGCUCGGGAUGCCUGCGGGGCCGUGUUCAGGCUGCAGCCUCAGCGGGCCUGUCCCGAGCCUCGUCACUGGUCCCCAGGAUGCCUGCGGGGCCGUGUGCAGGCCGCAGCCUCAGCGGGACUGUCCCGAGCCUCAUCACCGGUCCCCAGGUUGUCCUCGCACCCCCACCUCCUUGCAAGCUGCAUUAUUCAAUGGAUCGCCUUCUUCCCGGGACUUGCAGCAUCCCCGGGGUGUCCUCUGACACAUCAUCCCCUUAACUCCUCUUUUAGACUCUUCCUCAGAGGCACAUUUUUCUUGCUCUGUCCAGAGGCCAAGACCGAGUUUGGCCGCCUCUCCAGCGUCGCGUCUGCUUCAGGGGAGAAUGGUCCCCUUUGAGGGAAGCUCAUGCAACCCUGUGGCCCCAGCCAUAAAAAAGAAGACAGCCCCCCGCCCCCAUCAAUUACCUAUAUGAUCAUAAAAGAUGGUUUUAGUCUUUAAAAAAUUACCUAGUGUGACGGUAGAGACCCCGAGGCUUGGGUCAACAUCAGCAGUCCUCUCUGAAACAACACAGCAAUUAAUUCCACGAAGCUUCCUGGUUGUCAAUGAUGCCACUUGCCACUGAAGCCAGAAAUCGUGUCCCUCUGAACGGAAGCACCUGUCAGCUGCCCAGGUCUGAAACUACCCUUCCCUCCUCCCACCAAGUUCAAGGCCAUUUCUCGAUGCCAUGUGUCACUCCCCAUGUGGGGCGGCUCCUUGUCAGAACUCUUUCCACACAUUCUCAGGUGUGUGUGCUGGAGAAGGGUGUGCAGCUUGUCUUUGCCCAUGGUGUAGUGGUUUGUUCCUGCACAGCUUUGAGUAAUAUGUGGGUAUCAUCCAUAUGGAUUGCAAAGUCAAGUGGGCCUUAGGAAGCAUUACUACAAGC